GACGAGCCACACGAACGUUAUUCGGAAUUACUGGGCUUAAAGGGUGCGUAGGCGGUGCGGAAAGUUGGGUGUGAAAUCCCUCGGCUCAACCGAGGAACUGCGCCCAAAACUACCGCACUUGAGGAAGAUAGAGGUGAGCGGAACUCACGGUGGAGCGGUGAAAUGCGUUGAUAUCGUGAGGAACACCCGUGGCGAAAGCGGCUCACUGGGUCUUUUCUGACGCUGAUGCACGAAAGCUAGGGGAGCAAACGGG
This 253-nucleotide ribosomal RNA is filed under the name uncultured bacterium. Its description in RNAcentral is "partial 16S ribosomal RNA". It matches the Rfam family "Bacterial small subunit ribosomal RNA", at positions 524 to 776 of the family's 1533-position model. The record is from RNAcentral.